GUUCCCAUCCCGAACACAGUAGUUAAGCUCUUCAGCGCCGAUGGUAGUUGGGACUUUGUCCCUGCAAGAGUAGGACGCCGCCAGGC
Molecule: ribosomal RNA, 86 nt
Filed under: Oceanobacillus arenosus
Lineage: Bacteria; Bacillati; Bacillota; Bacilli; Caryophanales; Bacillaceae
Source: RNAcentral